RNAcentral lists this unclassified non-coding RNA (210 nucleotides) under soil metagenome. Its description in RNAcentral is "partial contains 5.8S ribosomal RNA, internal transcribed spacer 2, and large subunit ribosomal RNA". The record is from RNAcentral.
AACCUAGCACACCUGCGGUGUGUACCUGCGGAGGGAUCAUUACCGAGUGUGGUCCCAUAUAAGGGGCGCCUCCCGUCCUUUGCAGGGCCUUUAGGGGCUUUUUGACUUUGCUUCGGCGGGCUUGCCCCGCCGGAACACCCUUAAGAAAAUCUUUAUGAACCGUUUGUCUGAGUUGCUUGCGAAUAAAACAAAACUUUCAACAACGGAUCU